Molecule: long non-coding RNA, 219 nt
Organism: Leopardus geoffroyi (Geoffroy's cat)
Lineage: Eukaryota; Metazoa; Chordata; Mammalia; Carnivora; Felidae
Exons: 2
Source: RefSeq, a predicted model, not a curated record
CGUCGCUUCCCGGCUCCCAGGACAGCAGCACGCUGCGGGCCUUCACGUCCUCCUGCUGUACCACCGGCUUACUGGGGGGCUGUGGGCGGUCUGGGAGUCGGCAGAGGAGGGUAGGAGCAGGUCCCAACAGCCGGCACCCUGGCUCCUGGCCCAUGACCUGUCCCUCAGGCCGCGAGAGGCCUGGGUGCCUGGGAAUUCACAUCCCCUGAGGGCAGCCUG